GUACUACUUGUGUAGUACAUAUACUAAAAUUGGAACGAUACAGAGAAGAUUAGCAUGGCCCCUGUCGCAAGGAUGACACGCACAAUCGUGAAGCGUUCCAAAUUUUU
Molecule: small nuclear RNA, 107 nt
Filed under: Pomacea canaliculata
Lineage: Eukaryota; Metazoa; Mollusca; Gastropoda; Architaenioglossa; Ampullariidae
Source: RNAcentral